UGCAUAUCAAAAAAGCGGAGCAAAAGAAACUAACAAGGAUUCCCCUAGUAACGGCGAGUGAAGCGGGAAGAGCUCAAAUUUGAAAUCUGGCAGUCUUCGAUUGUCCGAGUUGUAAUCUAUAGAGGCGUUUUCCGUGCCGGACCGUGUCCAAGUCUCCUGGAAAGGAGUAUCAAAGAGGGUGAUAAUCCCGUACUUAACACGACCACCGGUGCUCUGUGAUACGUCUUCUACGAGUCGAGUUGUUUGGGAAUGCAGCUCAAAAUGGGUGGUGAAUUCCAUCUAAAGCUAAAUAUUGGCGAGAGACCGAUAGCGAACAAGUACCGUGAGGGAAAGAUGAAAAGCACUUUGGAAAGAGAGUUAAACAGUACGUGAAAUUGUUGAAAGGGAAACGAUUGAAGUCAGUCGUGUUCUUUGGAUUCAGCCAGUUCUGCUGGUCUACUUCCUUGGAACGGGUCAACAUCAGUUUUGUCCGGUGGAUAAAGGUAGUAGGAAUGUGACUUCUCCGGAAGUGUUAUAGCCUAUUAUCACAUACACUGGGUGAGACUGAGGACUGCAGCUCGCCUUUAUGGCCGGUCUUCGGACACGUCGAGCUAGGAGUACAUAGAUUCA
RNAcentral lists this ribosomal RNA (609 nucleotides) under Trichosporon japonicum. RNAcentral describes it as "partial large subunit ribosomal RNA". It matches the Rfam family "Eukaryotic large subunit ribosomal RNA", at positions 37 to 619 of the family's 3401-position model. The record is from RNAcentral. Lineage: Eukaryota; Fungi; Basidiomycota; Tremellomycetes; Trichosporonales; Trichosporonaceae.